This 253-nucleotide ribosomal RNA is filed under the name uncultured bacterium. Its description in RNAcentral is "partial 16S ribosomal RNA". It matches the Rfam family "Bacterial small subunit ribosomal RNA", at positions 524 to 776 of the family's 1533-position model. The record is from RNAcentral.
UACGUAGGUGGCGAGCGUCGUCCGGAUUUACUGGGCGUAAAGAGCGCGCAGGCGGUCGUGUAAGUCGAAUGUGAAAGCCCCCGGCUCAACUGGGGAGGGUCAUUCGAUACUGCUCGACUCGAAGGCAGGAGAGGGAAGCGGAAUUCCCGGUGUAGUGGUGAAAUUCGUAGAUAUUGGGAAGAACACCGGUGGCGAAGGCGGCUCUCUGGACCGAGACUGACGCUGAGGCGCGAAAGCGUGGGGAGCAAACAGG